CCUUUAAAAUGAAUAAAAAGAAAAGAGAAACGGAGGAAUCGUGAAACAGAUUCCCAAAAUACCAUUCGUCUUCCUCACGAAGACCGCUUCCCUUCUCUCAAUCUCUCAUCAUCUCUCAACCGUCAUCUCUCACGAUACCCUACCCUUACCCCAAAUGCACAAAUCCAUGGCUUUAAAGAAAUCCAAACAAUAAAGCUUACCUUCGGUGGUGGUUUGGUAGUGACGGUGAGGCUUGGAUUUGCCUCCUUUACCUCAAAGCUUUCUCUUUGAAGUUCUUCUCCUUCGCCGUUUCAAUCUGGGUUUUUUCGCCGUUUUCGAAUUUAGGGUUUUGUGGUGGUCGCCUCCAAAAAUUCCGUUCUUUCAUCUGUGGUCGAUUCCCCCUUUUAUAUCAACAACUUAGGGUUUUAGGUUGGCUUAUGGAGAUCCAAAAGGGGUUUCUGUGAAAUCUCUUUAGGGUAGUCAGAUUUUGGUCGCCCUAUUUGAUUGUUAAAUUCGGAAGAGAACCUUCAUGAGUGGUUUACAAAUUUCUUCUUCUACUUUGAAAAAAGGUGUUUUUGUUAUGGAAAUCCUAGGGUGGAGUUCUAGUGUGGAUGAAGUUCUUAGAUCCGCUUCUGGUUCGGUUGAGGAUGUGAAACUGUUUUGCUGUGAUCAAACUCAGAUUUGAGAAGAAGUUCUUUUUGGGUGCGAUUGGUUUUCUUGAUUUCAAUUGAUUUUGUUCAUACCGUGCAGGUUAACCAUUUGCCUUGGAAGUUAUGUUAGAGGCUGCUAUGGAGUUUUCGAUUUUGUAUGGAGGUUAACCAACCAAUUAGUAAGGGCGGAUUCAGGUUGUGGCUUUGAAUCAUGCUGUUGGAGGUUAGGUGGAUAUCAUUUGGGUUGAAAUUCGUUGGACAGUUGGAAGUUCGGUUGGAGUUUGUUAUGAUUCUAUUCUGAAUUCAGUUGAAAUUUGGAAAUUCGGAUCCUUUGGUUUGCACUUGCAGGUGUGAUGCAUAAUUGGUUAAUUACUGCAGAAUUUUUGGACAUAUUUGCUUCAGGAAUGAAUAGAAAGUCUGAAGGUUAUUAGUUAGCUUGGGAAUUUCGGCUUGGAUGCGGCUACGAAGCGCAUUGGAUGGCGGGGCUGUUUUGGAAUUCUUAUGGAGUGCUAUGGCCUUGAUGAUGUUGAUUCGCUACUGUUAGAAAAAUCAUAUGUAAUGGAUUGGGAUAUAUCGAAUGUAUUGAAAUGGUUGGGUAGUGACUAUUGUAAUUUGGUUAGAUAAUAUUUAAUUGAAAGUGAAUGAAAAUUUGAAUGGUUUAUGAAAUA
Lathyrus oleraceus (garden pea) is the source of this 1297-nucleotide long non-coding RNA. RefSeq lists it as uncharacterized. The record is from RefSeq and is a predicted model, not a curated record. Lineage: Eukaryota; Viridiplantae; Streptophyta; Magnoliopsida; Fabales; Fabaceae. The transcript has 4 exons.